RNAcentral lists this ribosomal RNA (360 nucleotides) under uncultured bacterium. RNAcentral's name for it is "bacterial SSU rRNA". It matches the Rfam family "Bacterial small subunit ribosomal RNA", at positions 29 to 414 of the family's 1533-position model. The record is from RNAcentral.
AACGAACGCUGGCGGCAGGCCUCAAACAUGCAAGUCUAGGGGGUGUAGCAAUACAUCACCGGCGGACGGGUGCGUAACGCGUGGGAAUAUACCUAUUGGUUCGGAACAACACAGGGAAACUUGUGCUAAUACCGAAUGUGCCCUUACGGGGAAAGAUUUAUCGCCAAUGGAUUAGCCCGCGUCCGAUUAGCUAGUUGGUGAGGUAACGGCUCACCAAGGCUCCGAUCGGUAGCUGUUCUGAGAGGAAGAUCAGCCACACUGGGACUGAGACACGGCCCAGACUCCUACGGGAGGCAGCAGUUGGGAAUCUUGGACAAUGGGGGAAACCCUGAUCCAGCCAUGCCGCGUGAGUGAUGAAGG